This 21-nucleotide microRNA is filed under the name Salmo salar (Atlantic salmon). RNAcentral describes it as "ssa-miR-205b-1-3p". Its record names the gene ssa-miR-205b-1-3p. Lineage: Eukaryota; Metazoa; Chordata; Actinopteri; Salmoniformes; Salmonidae. The record is from miRBase by way of RNAcentral.
GAUUUCAGUGGUAUGAAGAGU